CUGGCCCUAAACGAUGUUCACUAGGUGUGGGGAGCGGAAAGCUCUCCGUGCUAAAGCUAACGCGAUAAGUGAACCGCCUGGGGAGUACGCCCGCAAGGGUGAAACUCAAAGGAAUUGACG
RNAcentral lists this ribosomal RNA (120 nucleotides) under uncultured bacterium. Its description in RNAcentral is "partial 16S ribosomal RNA". It matches the Rfam family "Bacterial small subunit ribosomal RNA", at positions 796 to 915 of the family's 1533-position model. The record is from RNAcentral.